UGAAUACGAGACGCUAAGGCGUCGAAGUAGUGUAUGUCAUGCUUCCAAGAAAAGCUUGCACUGUCAUAGAUAAAAAACGCCUGUACCAUAACCGACACAGGUGGGUAGGUAGAGUAUACUAAGGGGCGCGAGAUUACUCUCGCUAAGGAACUCGGCAAAAUAACUCCGUAACUUCGGGAGAAGGAGUGCCUUAUUCGUAAGGUUGCAAUAACAAGAUCCAAGCAACUGUUUAUCAAAAACACAGGUCUCCGCUAAGUCGUAAGACGAUGUAUGGGGGCUGACGCCUGCCCAGUGCCAGAAGGUUAAAGAAGUCGGUUAGCAAUUGCGAAGCUGGUAACUGAAGCCCUGGUGAACGGCGGCCGUAACAAUAACGGUCCUAAGGUAGCGAAAUUCCUUGUCGGGUAAGUUCCGACCCGCACGAAAGGCGUAAUGAUUUGGAUACUGUCUCGGAGAGGGGCUCGGUGAAAUAGACUUGUCUGUGAAGAUGCGGACUACCUGCACCAGGACAGAAAGACCCUAUGAAGCUUUACUGUAACUUGAAAUUGAAAUUGGACUUUAUUCGCGCAGUAUAGGUGGGAGGCGUUGAUUAUAAUCUUGCGGGAUUAUUGGAGCCAUCAGUGAGAUACCACCCUUGUAAUGUUAGAUUUCUAACUUUGAAUCAUUAUCUGGUCAAAGAACAGUUUCAGGCGGGCAGUUUGACUGGGGCGGUCGCCUCCUAAACGGUAACGGAGGCGUACAAAGGUUUCCUCUGAACGGUUAGAAAUCGUAUCUAGAGUGUAAAGGCAUAAGGAAGCUUGACUGUGAGACCUACAAGUCGAGCAGGGACGAAAGUCGGUCUUAGUGAUCUGACGGUACUGAGUGGAAAGGCCGUCACUCAACGGAUAAAAGUUACUCUAAGGAUAACAGGCUGAUCUCCCCCAAGAGUUCACAUCGACGGGGAGGUUUGGCACCUCGAUGUCGGCUCAUCGCAUCCUGGGGCGGUAGUACGUCCCAAGGGUUGGGCUGUUCGCCCAUGAAAGCGGUACGCGAGCUGGGUUCAGAACGUCGUGAGACAGUUCGGUCCAUAUCCGGUGUAGGCGUUAGAAUAUUGAGAGGAGCCUUCUUUAGUACGAGAGGACCGAGAAGGACAUACCUCUGGUGUACCAGUUAUCGUGCCAACGGUAAACGCUGGGUAGCUAUGUAUGGAGUGGAUAACCGCUGAAAGCAUCUAAGUGGGAAGCCCACCUCAAGAUAAGUAUUCUCC
RNAcentral lists this ribosomal RNA (1243 nucleotides) under metagenome. RNAcentral's name for it is "bacterial LSU rRNA". It matches the Rfam family "Bacterial large subunit ribosomal RNA", at positions 1564 to 2816 of the family's 2925-position model. The record is from RNAcentral.